Molecule: ribosomal RNA, 1377 nt
Filed under: uncultured bacterium
Lineage: Bacteria
Description: 16S ribosomal RNA
Rfam family: Bacterial small subunit ribosomal RNA
Source: RNAcentral
AGAGUUUGAUCCUGGCUCAGGACGAACGCUGGCGGCGCGCUUAAUACAUGCAAGUCGAACGGACGAGGAGGAGCUUGCUCCUCCAAGUUAGUGGCGGACGGGUGAGUAACACGUGAGUAAUCUGCCUUAGAGUGGGGAAUAACAACCGGAAACAGUUGCUAAUACCGCAUAAUGUCGCGGGAUGGCAUCUUCCUGUGACCAAAGCUUUAUGUGCUCUAAGAUGAGCUCGCGUCCGAUUAGAUAGUUGGUGAGGUAACGGCCCACCAAGUCAACGAUCGGUAGCCGGACUGAGAGGUUGGCCGGCCACAUUGGGACUGAGAUACGGCCCACACUCCUACGGGAGGCAGCAGUAGGGAAUAUUACGCAAUGGGGGCAACCCUGACCUAGCGACGCCGCGUGAAGGAUGAAGGUUUUCGGAUUGAAAACUUCUUUUAAGAGGGACGAUAAUGACGGUACCUCUUGAAUAAGCCACGGAUAACUACGUGCCAGCAGCCGCGGUAAUACGUAGGUGGCGAGCGUUGUCCGGAUUUACUGGGUGUAAAGGGCGAGUAGGCGGGAUUACAAGUCAGAUGUGAAAUCCGGAGGCUCAACUUCGGGGCUGCAUAUGACACCUGUAAUUCUUGAGUGAUGGACAGGGAGGCGAAAUUCCCGGUGCAGCGGUGGAAUGCAUAGAGAUCGGGAGGAACACCAGUGGCGAAGGCGGCCUGCUGGACAUUAACUGACGCUGAGGAGCGAAAGUGUGGGGAGCAAACAGGAUUAGAUACCCUGGUAGUCCACACCGUAAACGAUGGAUACUAGGUGUGCGGGGACUGACCCCCUGCGUGCCGCAGUUAACACAAUAAGUAUCCCACCUGGGGAGUACGGUCGCAAGAUUGAAACUCAAAGGAAUUGACGGGCACCCGCACAAGCAGUGGAGUAUGUUGAUUAAUUCGACGCAACGCGAAGAACCUUACCAGGGUUUGACAUCCAGAGAAUUAUGUAGAAAUACAAAAGUGCCCUUCGGGGAACUCUGAGACAGGUGGUGCAUGGUUGUCGUCAGCUCGUGUCGUGAGAUGUUGGGUUAAGUCCCGCAACGAGCGCAACCCUUAUUGUUAGUUGCUACCAUUUAGUUGAGCACUCUAGCGAGACUGCCCGGGUUAACCGGGAGGAAGGUGGGGAUGACGUCAAAUCAUCAUGCCCCUUAUGUCUAGGGCUACACACGUGCUACAAUGGCCGGUACAAUUAGAAGCUAAGCCGCGAGGUGGAGCAAAACUGAAAAACCGGUCUCAGUUCGGAUUGUAGGCUGAAACUCGCCUACAUGAAGCUGGAGUUGCUAGUAAUCGCGAAUCAGCAUGUCGCGGUGAAUACGUUCCCGGGCCUUGUACACACCGCCCGUCA